GACGAACGCUGGCGGCGUGCUUAACACAUGCCAGUCGAACGCUGAAGCUCAGCUUUUGUUGGGUGGAUGAGUGGCGAACGGGCGAGUAACACGUCAGUAGCCUGCCCCCUUCUUUGGGAUAACGCCCGGAAACGGGUGCUAAUACUGGAUAUUCACUGGUCUUCGCAUGGGGGUUGGUGGAAAGGGUUUUUCUGGUGGGGGAUGGGCUCGCGGCCUAUCAGCUUGUUGGUGGGGUGAUGGCCUACCAAGGCUUUGACGGGUAGCCGGCCUGAGAGGGUGACCGGUCACAUUGGGACUGAGAUACGGCCCAGACUCCUACGGGAGGCAGCAGUGGGGAAUAUUGCACAAUGGGCGCAAGCCUGAUGCAGCGACGCCGCGUGAGGGAUGGAGGCCUUCGGGUUGUGAACCUCUUUCGCUCAUGGUCAAGCCGCAACAAUGGUUGUGGUGAGGGUAGUGGGUAAAGAAGCGCCGGCUAACUACGUG
This 483-nucleotide ribosomal RNA is filed under the name uncultured bacterium. RNAcentral's name for it is "partial 16S ribosomal RNA". It matches the Rfam family "Bacterial small subunit ribosomal RNA", at positions 28 to 507 of the family's 1533-position model. The record is from RNAcentral.